RNAcentral lists this long non-coding RNA (2802 nucleotides) under Mus musculus (house mouse). Its description in RNAcentral is "long non-coding RNA chr1:90520495-90523297". Lineage: Eukaryota; Metazoa; Chordata; Mammalia; Rodentia; Muridae. The record is from RNAcentral.
UGAGAGAAAAGAUGACUUUCUGUAGUUCGAGGAAGGUGAGAAGUGAGAAUUCCCCACCUCCACCCCGGUAAGCUUGCCACUCCCGUGGAAAAGUUUUGCUGGGUCUCUGAUCCUGUCCUAGUGGGGGAAGCAGUGUCCUGCUGCAACUCUCUCUCUCUGGAAUGAAGUUUAAGAAUACCUCAGUAGGCUGGGCGGGAGACCCCAUGCACAAGUGGCAGUGCCGGGUCAGGACAGAGCAGGGGCCAUCCACAGUGAUGGGUCCCAAGAAGACUGACAAGUAAGAAGUGCUCUCAUCUCCAUACUGCUGAGGCUGCAGAGCUGAGAGGCUAGGUCACUCAAUGGACACCGAGUGGCCAGCAGCCUGGCAUUCCCCUGCUGUCUCCGCCCCAGACACAGAAAUGAUACACUUUUCCAAACGCCUGUGUCAAAAGCAUCUCAUCCUAAAGGGUCCCAAGGAUCCUGGGAAUACAGAAGCAGACUCUGGGCUGUAAGGAGGCCAAACCUGCUUCGGUGCUCAAUUGCUCUGGGCCUUGAGUGGCCCCAAGGCUCUUCCACAUAAGAAGCCUGAGUUCCCCAGCCAGAAACUGGUGUUCUAUGACCCUGGGCAGUAGCUGGAUGCUUAAAGCUUCAUCACAUGUAACUCACAGGAGGAGCUGGGGUGAUGCCUCAGUUGGGAUAGUGCUUCCAGGAUAAUUGUGAGGACCUGCUUUCCUCUGAACCAUCCAUGGGAAAAGCUGGGCGAGGAGGCAGUUACUUGUAAUCCCAGCAGGAGGGAGGCACAGGUAGGAGGCUCCCUAGGACUCUGUGGCCAGCCAGCUUAGCUUCGUUGUUGAAGCGAGCAGGAGUCCCAGUGAGAAGCUCCGGUUCAAAAUCCAAGGUAGGGUGUGGCUGACAGAUGGUGCCAUGGUUAAAAGUGCUGGUUGGGCAAGCUUGAGGACCUGAGCUUGAAAAAAAAUGUUGAUUGUGGUUACAUGUGCUCUUGGAGAUAAAGACAGGGGAAUUUCUGGGGUUUGUUGACCUCUGGCCUAUAGACACACACACACACACACACACACACACACACACACACGUACACAUACAUACACACACACUCACACAGGCACACACACACCCCAACAAACCAACAAAACCAAUAUAUCCAGCUCCCAAGAAACAACACUCAAGGAUGAAUUCUGACUUCCACGUACAUAUGUGUGCACAUAUCCUUCCCAUCCAAACAUAUAUACACAAACAUACAUAUAAAUAAAUGAAUGAAGAAAUAUAGGAGCCAACCCUUCUGCAAGGAAAUGUGUCUUUGGUGUCCACCUGCCAAAGUGUGUUCUAAACCACUGAGCUGCCUACAGGCUCAAGGGUAUGACUCAGUUGUCCCAUAACACGACAACCUCCAUUUUACUCUCUGAGAUGCCUUAUAACUGAACUUUUGUAAACCCCCAUGCUAGAGGUAACAGUGGUGAGUGACAGGCUUGUUCAAGCUGGAUUGCCAAACCCUGCCUGUGUCUCUUACUCAUGGGAUUGUGGUCAGGGUGUCAAUAGCCAUCCAAAGGGGUAAGGGUCUUUAUAAUCCACCAUAAGGUUCAAUACUUCCAUCUGCAGAAAAGCCAGGCUCAGGCCUCACCCAAGGAAGGCUUAGAAAGGGCACUUGGGCAUUUUAUUAAGCAGGUGUGUUUAAACUGGCUCUCCUUAAAAAUAUGCUUGGGCUUUUCUUUCAAUAGAGAAAUGUCACCCAGCUUAAAGCAGUGAAGACACACCCGACACCAUUCUUUUCAGUUUUGAAAGGACUUUUCGUACAAUCAGGUGGUAUGUUACACAACCGAACUGCCCGUCACCUCCCUCUGGGUUUCCAUGGGUGUUUGUUUCUUUUUAAUUCUAGAGAUGAGACAUCUGUUCUCCACUCUCGCUCUGGGACAGUAGCUCUUCUCCAUGACCCAAACUAUCCCCAGCUGUGUCCUUUGGAACGGAGAGCAUGACCCUCUCUCUGUGUGGAACACUCCGCACCCAGGAGGCAUCAUUCUGAACUCCAUUCAGGAUGGAGCCUUCCAGACCUUCAUCAUCUCAAAACUAUGUGCAGGGCAGCAAGACUGUACUCAUGACCCAGGGUGACCACGUACUCUCUCCUCCUCAGAACCUGAUCUUUGGAGAAGCAGCCAUGGUGCACAGAGGAAGGCGAUCGCCAUGGUGCCCCCAAAGCUCCAGCAGCCAUGUGCUAAUAAUGCAAGAAGCUGAAGGAGAUUGAGGGGGAGACUUGGCUCAGAGACUGGAAACAGAAAUGAUAAGCGAAGUGAUGCUUAAUUAAAAGCACAUUUGUAAAAAGAUCAGGCCUGGCCAAAAAAAAAAAAAAAAAAAAAAAUGACAACGAUAGCUAAACUUUUAAAAUCAAGUCACUCUCUCCUGAGAUUUCUUCCAGAGCCAGGCUGAAUUCAGGACUCUGGGUUUUGUCUUCUAGGAGAGUCUGCAGAUCUGGGGAGGAAUGGGGGGCAGGCAGUGAGGGGGAGGUAAGCUAAGUGACAAAGUGCUAGCUCCUGGGGCGUCUGCAAAGGGCAGGGCUUCUCCAAGCAUGACCCGAGAUAUGAAAGGCCAUGGCAGGAAUGAGGCAAAACUCAAACAUGCCUCACCUACGUGCCAGCCACAAACCCAGGGCAGACACCGCAAACACACAUGAAUGGCUUCACAAGGAUGGAGGUCCCGAAACAAAAACCUGAACUCCAAAUCAUGAAUGUCCUGGGAAAAUGGAUCACUCUGUAAAGUGCCUGCCUUGCAAGCACAAGGACAUGAGUGUAAACCUCAGAACUCACAAACUCACAU